Molecule: ribosomal RNA, 249 nt
Filed under: uncultured bacterium
Lineage: Bacteria
Description: partial small subunit ribosomal RNA
Rfam family: Bacterial small subunit ribosomal RNA
Source: RNAcentral
AGAAUCAACCGCUGGCGGCGUGCCUAACACAUGCAAGUCGAACGAGAAAGUGGAGCAAUCCAUGAGUAAAGUGGCGCACGGGUGAGUAACACGUGACUAACCUACCCUCGAGUGGGGAAUAACUUCGGGAAACCGAGGCUAAUACCGCAUAAAAACCUAAGGGUCAAAAGGAGCAAAUCCGUUUGAGGAGGGGGUCGCGGCAGAUUAGUUAGUUGGCGGGGUAAUGGCCCACCAAGACGAUGAUCUGUA